UUGGCGGCGAGGAAUUUGAGCAGCAUCGAAAAGACUACAGCCCUGAGCUGCGGUCGCAUUCCCACAUCCAGCAUUCCAGCGUAGUGUCAGUCUCAUCAGCAUCUUGUCCGCUUCCUCCUUGCUUCUCUUGGCGCACUCCUCGGUCGAGUUCUUCUUCCACCUAGCUGGCACCUACUAGCUAGCUAGCGCCGUCGCCAUGAGUCCCAUCAUCACGAUGCUGCUCAUCCUCUUCGGCGUCGUGGUCUUCGGCUGCGCGAUCAUGAUCUGUGUCAGGUGCGUCAAGGUGGAGGAGCGCGCAGCAGUGGUAGCAGCGUUCGCAGCAGCUGCAGAAGCGGUAGCAGAAGCUGCAGCAGCACCGUUGGUGGCGCCUGUGCCGGCAGCAGCGGCAGCAGCAGAGCAUGGGCAGGUCCCUGCUGCAGCCGGAGCUGCUGCUGCCGCCGCUGCAGCGGCGCCGCCUCUACCCGCAGCAGGAGCAGCAGCAGCUGCUGUUAGUAAUCCUUUUGUAGUCUGUUACAUAGCAUAGCAUGUUUGUUAUUCUGUUCUGCAUGCACACGAGGGCCGGCUUGUGGUGCCCGUGUGCGUAGGAGGUAGUGGACGAGAUUAGCUCGCCAUGAACCUGAGCAUGCAAGCCAUGGCCGGCUGUUACGGCGCAUGGGGAUGGACGUGCGCAUCCUGCGUGAUCGUGCGGCCGUGGCUUGUGCUGCUCUGCUUUGUAAUUCCAAUAAAUAAGAGUCGAAUACAUUAGAAAACGCUGCCGCGAUUUGCAGCACAAAAAAACUCUGUGUUCCAGUGUUCGUGUGUGUUCUUGUUCCCUCACCUCUGCUCGUGUCCUCGCCGCCGGUGUGCACCGACGUCCGGUGACUGACAAGUGGCAUCAGAGCUAGGAUCGAUCGAGCUCCGCGACGAUCAUGUCGUCACCGCCGCCGAAGAGCACAAAGGAGAAGGGCGACGGUUCCAGCGGCAAGUCCCCGACGCGCUCACGCUCCCCACGGCGUCGCUCCCCGCGGCGUCGCUCUCGUCGCGGUGACCACAGCCGCUCAGUGACCCGCGACGCACGCCGUCCGCGGGAGAUCGUCGUCGAGCGCAUCGUCCGCGAGGGGGGCAGCGUUGGCAACUGGCCGCAGCUGACACGGACCAACUACCAUGAGUGGUCACUCCGCAUGAAGUUGAAGCUGCAGGCGCGCCACCUCUGGGACGCCAUCGAGUUCGACGACGUCGAGUUCGACGACGACCGCAGCGCCCUCGACGCCAUCUGCAGCGCUGUCCCCGGCGACAUGGUGCCCGCGCUCGCCACGAAGGAGACGGCCAAGGAGGCUUGGGAGACCAUCAGGACGCUCCGCAUCGGGGACGAACGCGUGCGGACGGCCACGGCGCAGUCCCUCCGCGCCGAGUACGAGAACAUCGCGCUCCGUGAAGGCGAGGCCAUCGAGGACUUCUCCCUGCGCCUCACCGGGAUCGUGCAGCGCCUUGCGACACUCGGCGACCCCGAGCCCGAGGCCAAAGUGGUGGCCAAAUACCUCCGCGUCGCCCGCGCACGCUACAAGCAGCUGGUAAUUUCAAUUGAGACCUUGCUUGACAUCUCUCAGCUAUCCAUUGAGGAGGUCACGGGAAGGCUCAAGGCGGCCGACGACGUCGAGCCUACACCAGCGCACACUGCGGGCGGUAAGCUGCUCCUUACGGAGGAGCAGUGGAUCGAGAGGUACAAGAAGAAGGACCAAGAGUCCAGUCGCGGCGGCUCCACCUCCGGCGGCCGUGGCAAGCAGCGCGGCAGAGGCCGCGGUCGUGGCUCCGGCGGCUCCAGUCGAGGACCUCCACCAGAUGAGCCUUGCCCGCGCUGUGGCAAGAAGGGGCAUUGGGCCCGCGACUGCCGCAGCAAGAAGAAGGAGGAGCCCGCUCAGCAGGCCCAUGUGGCCCAAGAGGAAGAGGCCACCCUGAUGCUAGCCAUCGGUGCGGCCCAGGAGGAGUCCCUCGUCUCCACUCCGCCGCCCUCGCCACGCUCCACCGAGCCGCCGCCGCCGCAAUCCGUGGCGCUCCCCGAGCUCCACGUCGUGGAGAAGAAGGUCCACGCCGAGCUCAGCGACGAGGCGGACCGGGACCCGUCGCGCUGGAUCCUGGACACUGGCGCAUCGAAUCAUAUGUCCGGAUCCCGCGCCGCCUUCGCCGACAUCGACACCGGCGUCACCGGCUCCGUCCGAUUCGGGGAUGGCUCCGUCGCGCGCAUCGAGGGCAUCGGCACGGUGCUCUUCCAAUGCAAGAACGGGGAGCAUCGCGCGCUCGCCAACGUCUACUUCCUCCCGCGCCUUACCGCCAACAUCAUCUCCGUCGGACAGCUGGAUGAAGGCGGGUACCAGGUGCUGGUGGAACACGGCGUGAUGCGGGUGCGUGACGAAGACCGGCGACUCCUCGCCAAGAUCCCACGGAGUCCCGGGCGGCUGUACACCCUCGACGUCACCAUCGCGCGCCCUGUGUGCUUGGCGGCACGCACUGACGACGACGCCUGGCGAUGGCACGCGCGGUUCGGCCACAUCCACUUCGCCGCGCUGCGCAAGAUGGGACGCGAGGAGCUCGUCCGCGGCCUGCCAGUCAUCGACCAAGUCCAGCAGGUCUGUGAGGCCUGCCUCGCCGGCAAGCAGAAGAGGGCGCCGUUUCCCCAGAAGACGCUCAGGCGUUCCACGGAGCCGCUCCAGCUCCUCCAUGGAGACAUCUGCGGUCCAAUCACGCCGGCGACACCGAGUGGUAACAGAUACUUCCUACUGCUGGUCGAUGAUUAUUCACGUUUUAUGUGGAUCUCCCUGCUGCCGACCAAGGAUGCCGCGGCCAACGCCAUCAAGAACAUCCAGGCCGCGGCGGAACGCAAGAGUGGCAAGAAGGUGGUGACGCUGCGCACAGACCGUGGUGGAGAAUUCGCCGCCGCUGACUUCGUCGACUACUGCGCUCAACUCGGUGUCCACAGGCAACUCACGGCGCCGUACACACCUCAACAAAACGGCGUCGUGGAGCGGCGCAAUCAGACCGUCGUGGGCACGGCCAGAAGCAUGAUGAAGGCCAAGGCUCUCCCUGGGGUGUUCUGGGGGGAGGCUGUGACGACGGCAGUCUACCUGCUGAACAGGUCUUCGUCCAAGGCGAUCGGCGGCAAGACUCCUUACCAGCUUUGGAACGGGAGCACGCCGUCGGUCCAGCACCUCAGGACGUUCGGCUGCAUCGCCCACGUGAAAGUGAACACGCCUCACCUCAAGAAGCUGGAGGACCGCAGCCGGCGCAUGGUGUUUGUCGGCUACGAACCGGGGUCCAAGGCUUAUCGAGCCUACGAUCCCUCGACGCGCCGAGUCCACAUCAGCCGCGAUGUGGUGUUCGAUGAGGCGGCGCAGUGGGCGUGGUCAGCAACGGACCACAACGAGCCUGGAGACUUCAACAUUGAAGAGUCGACGCCGCAGGAGCUCCCUGUGAUCACCACCACCAGAACGACUACGGCUUAUGCUCCUGCAUCGAGCUCCGCUUCACCGACUCUCUCAAGCGUGCACGCGUCUCCUGUCGGCCCCGACCCAGCAUCGCCGUCAAGCCUCGCGACACAGCCCCAGGUCCAGUUCGCAUCUCCACCGGUAUCCGGGGCUGACGAGCAUCUCGACGCCGAUCACGACGACGACGCACCCCUGCGUUUUCGGCGCCUCGACAACGUGCUUGGACAGGCUGACACGCCUGGUCUUGCACACCGCGAGCUGGAGGAACGCUUGCUGCUGGCCAGUGACGCUGAGCCGGCAUCCUUCGAGGAGGCGAUGCGCCACGAGUGCUGGCGCCUUGCAAUGCUUGACGAAAUGACCUCCAUCGAGGCCAGCGGUACAUGGAACCUGGUGGAGCUGCCGGCGCGUGCAAAGCCCAUCGGCCUCAAGUGGGUGUACAAGGUCAAAAAGGACGCCUCCGGCAUCGUCACCAAGCACAAGGCUCGCCUCGUCGCCAAGGGGUACGUGCAGCGGCAGGGCAUCGACUAUGACGAAGUCUUCGCCCCUGUUGCUCGGCUGGAGUCUGUUCGGCUCCUGCUAGCUCACGCCGCCUGUCAAGGCUGGGCUGUCCAUCACAUGGACGUGAAGUCCGCGUUCUUGAACGGCGUGCUCCAGGAGGAGGUGUACGUCGCACAGCCCCCCGGCUUCGUUCUGCGUGGGCAAGAGAACAAGGUCCUGCGCCUCAUCAAGGCCCUGUACGGGCUACGCCAAGCGCCGAGGGCGUGGUACGCCAAGCUCGACAAGUCCCUCAUCGGACUUGGGUUUCGGAGGAGCCCCUCUGAGCACGCCGUCUAUCUGCGCGGAGCCGGUGCACGCCGGCUGGUGGUGGGGGUCUAUGUCGAUGACCUCAUCAUCGCCGGCGGCAACCAGGUCGACAUCGACACCUUCAAGGGACAGAUGAAAGCCACUUUCAAGAUGAGCGACUUGGGCCUGCUCCACUACUACCUUGGUCUGGAGGUGUCUCAGACUGAGGCUGGCAUCACCAUCUGCCAGAGUUCUUACGCUGCCAAGAUCCUAGAGACAGCAGGCCUGACUGGGUGCAAUCCCAGCGCAACGCCGAUGGAGCCUCGCCUGAAGUUGAGCAAGGUGAGCUCAGCCCCAGCCAUCGACUCAUCCAUGUAUCGCAGUGUGGUGGGCUCGCUGCGGUAUUUGGUGAACUCAAGACCGGACUUGACGUACUCGGUGGGCUACAUCAGCCGAUUCAUGGAGAAUCCGACCACCGAACACCUGGCAGCCAUGAAGCGAGUGCUGCGAUACGUUGCGGGCACUCUGCACUUCGGCUGCUGCUACAAGAGGAAGAAGAAUCCCCAGCUGGUCGGCUACAGUGACAGUGACAUGGCUGGGGACAUUGACACGCGCAAGAGUACCUCAGGUAUCCUCUUCUUCCUCGGCGACAACACCAUCACCUGGCAGUCACAGAAGCAGAAGAUUGUGGCACUGUCCUCCUGCGAAGCGGAGUACAUUGCAGCGACGACAGCAGCUUGCCAGGGGGUAUGGCUGGCGCGGCUGCUUGCUGAACUCAAGAGCGAGCAGGCUGACGCCGUCACUUUGAGGAUCGACAACGAGUCCGCCAUCGCACUCAGCAAGAAUCCCGUCUUCCAUGAUCGCAGUAAGCACAUUGAUGUUCGUUAUCAUUACAUUCGUGAGUGUGUUGAGGAAGACAGGGUGAAACUCCAGUCCAUCGGGACGGAGGAGCAGCUGGCGGACAUUCUUACCAAAGCACUGGGGCGUGAACGCUUUUGCGAGUUACGUUCCAGAAUUGGUGUCGUUUGUGUACAGGGACUACACAAGGAUUAGGAGGAGAAUUUGUUAGUAAUCCUUUUGUAGUCUGUUACAUAGCAUAGCAUGUUUGUUAUUCUGUUCUGCAUGCACACGAGGGCCGGCUUGUGGUGCCCGUGUGCGUAGGAGGUAGUGGACGAGAUUAGCUCGCCAUGAACCUGAGCAUGCAAGCCAUGGCCGGCUGUUACGGCGCAUGGGGAUGGACGUGCGCAUCCUGCGUGAUCGUGCGGCCGUGGCUUGUGCUGCUCUGCUUUGUAAUUCCAAUAAAUAAGAGUCGAAUACAUUAGAAAACGCUGCCGCGAUUUGCAGCACAAAAAAACUCUGUGUUCCAGUGUUCGUGUGUGUUCUUGUUCCCUCACCUCUGCUCGUGUCCUCGCCGCCGGUGUGCACCGACGUCCGGUGACUGACAGCUGCAUCAGCAGAGCAGGAGCAGGUCCCUGCCGGAGCCGCCGCACAACAAGGUGGCGCGCCGCCGGCGCCAUGAUCGUCGAGCUGCGGCGUGCGGUUUGCAGUGUAGAUAAUUUGUUGGUUGAUGAGGUAUGGUCUCGAUCUGCUUCGAUCUGGUGUUUUGUGUGCCGCGCGGGGUUCGAUUUCGAUGCAAGCAAUCUCAGCUGAUCAUCUACUUCAUCUCGAUCUGUUCUUUUUUUCUAGUCAGAUGCAGUGUUAGUUCUUCGCUUUAUGUAGGGGGUCUUAGCUUGUGGAUCUAGCAUGCAUGUGAGAAAAAAAUGCACUGUAGUACGUUUGUGUCGUGGAUUAAUCAUUCGAGGAUGCUACUUAAUUAUUGCAGAUUCUGCUCGUAAUGUGCUAGAGCUAGUAGCAUUUUGUUAGAUCAUGGGUGUUUAAUUUGCGCUGAUGGUACGUCGACCGAUUUGAUGAUGCUACUAAUUAAGCUAGCUGGUCGAUCGACCGAUUUCAUUUCCUUUCUUACACGCUCAAUGUUGUGUUGUGAGUGAUGAGAUUUGGUUGCUGCAGCUGAUGCAUGACACGACACCACUGCACUAUACGAACCACCACAUGGCGUCGUCCCAUCCCCACGUACACUCAGUUAAUGGAUCGAUGCAUGCAGCUAAAGCGUGUGGCCCUAGCUAUAGUGACUACUCGAUCAGUGACUAUUGUUCCUCCCGUUUCUAGCUAGCAAGAGCAGUAGGGGCUUUGAUCACAUGAAUCAUGAAUACAUGCUUCCGCAUGCACUGCUCCACUUCCACCCAAAUGUGUCUAGGUUUCCAACUCCAUCGACCAGUCUUUUUCUGUGGGUCCAAAUUAUAAAGUCAUGUACAGAUCUGUUUUUUUUAUCACGACUCAACUGCAAAAUACAUCUACUGGAAUCGUGUUGUGCCUCAUAGACCCUCGAUGAUUGAAAAGCUUUCGUCCUUGCAAGAAAGAUAAAUAGAAUUAGGGUGUGUCUCUGCAGUAGGUGUCUAAAAUUUUGCCUAUCUUACAAUCAUCUUCAACCUCUAGCUCUACUAGCCUCCUGCACAUACCCACCCUGCCUGCCUCACCGGUGGCUGUGCCCUCUGAUGCUGGCACUAGGGUUCGCCGGAGCUCUAGAGAGUUAGGGUCGUGCCCGUGGCGGCUGCCUUACAUUGCCUUCCCUUCCAUGAUGAGCUCCAACAGCGGCAACCUUCCUCCAGCCAUGGUGCCCCCACCCCUCCCUAGUCCGGCUACCACCGUCACUUCCAGGGCCCCUAAGCCGCUUGACCUCCUUCCCUUCCGCUUGACCUUCUAUGACUGCCGGAGUUAAGAAGGAGAGGGGUAGAGAUCGGCAAAACCCUAGCUUGAAGAUAUCUAGGAGGAGGAAGAGAAGGAGGAGGCCUACCUCAACAGAUCUGUCAUGGCUGGUGCGGGUGGGGCAGGAGCUCGGCACAAGUGGGGUGAGGAUUUCGGAGCAGACGCGGGGAGGUCACCGGAGAUAUAUAUAUAUAUAUAUAUAUAUAUAUAUAUAUAUAUAUAUAUAUAUAUAUAUAUAUAGAGAGAGAGAGAGAGAGAGAGAGAGAGAGAUGUGGAAGAAGGGGAGGUCAGGGCGCAGUCAACUGAAGGGGAAGCCGAAUAUCAGACAAUUGUUAGUGAGCAUUUCUGAAAGAAUUAAUGAAAAGCUUUUGUCCUCGCCUAGAUCGAUGCCUUGAAAGUUGGAGAGACUAGAUAGCAUAUAUAGUAUCAUUUUGUUAGAACGAUCGGUAUUUCAUUUGCACAUAUCUCCACAGUUCACGUACUGCGUCAGAUUUGGAUGCAUGCUAGUAAGUUGAUCGAUCGAUUGAUUUUUAGACCUUUUAAUUUCUACUCCUACAUGAUAUCAAGUUAAUAAAGAUGUGAGUGACAUGUGGUUACUGCAGCUAGCUGAUCGACGAGCACGCAUCGCCACGUGCCAUCGUCCCCCAUCUAUCCGUGCACUCAAUCAAAGCAGCUGAAAUAUGCAGCUAUUGUCCUUGCCAUAGUCGUCGUGAUCGUGAUCGAGCUAGCGUGCGCGGCUAGUGUUCGUCCCGUUUCUCGCAAGCGCAAUAGGCUUUGACACCUACAUAUGGAUAUAAAGAUAAAGAUACCUGGACAUUUUGGUGCAAGUUUACAGGAGCAUGGAUAAUUUGCCAUUUCUAUAUGGAGUGUCGCAGAAGCCCUUUUAGUUUUGUCUCCGCCUCCGUGUCGACCGAUCAGUGGUGGUGCCCUCAACGAAGGAAGUCCUGUGAUGCACGAAUGCUGCUAUAGCGCUACUUAAAUUUUGCCCACGAGACCUUGACAAUGUAGACACAUAUGGAUUGUCCACAAGACCCGUCAACCUGUGCUUCAGCACCACUACUGGACGCGGGCUCUUUGCCGAGGGCCCGAAGCCUUCGGCAAAGGCCCAAAAACCUUCGGCAAAGGCUUUGCCGAGGGUGGCCCUCGACAAAGAGCUCUCGGGAAAUUUUGAGUCGGCAAAGAGAGUCUUUACCGAGGGUCUUUUAUCGGGCAGCAAAGAAAAGUAACCGUGACGGCGCUCUUUCCCUUGGACGGUGUCUUUGCCGAGGGCCUCCACCCACGGCCCUCGGCAAAGAAAUUUUGACCUGUUGGCAGCCCUCGGCAAAGAAAUGACUUUUUAAGUUUGUUUUCUCAAAAAAUAUUUUUUUUAAAAAAAACAUUUGCCGAGGGCCUCAUCCACAGCCCUCGGCAAAGAAUUUUUUUUAAAUUUUUUUAAAAACCUUUGCUGAGGGGUCAGCCCUCAGCAAAAGAAAUUUCAUGAUUUUUCAAAAAUUCUUUGCAGAGGGCUGUAGCCAGAGCCCUCGACAAAAGAAUUUUUAUUUUAAAAAACCUUCUUUGCCGAGGGCCUUGGUCAUUGCCCUCGGCAAAAAAACAUUUUUUUUUCUCUUUUUUUGCAUUUAUAUACACAUUUAUAUAUCAAGCACGCCGGAUAAAAAUAUCUUUGCCGAGGGCCUGACGGAUGGCCCUCGGCAAAGCAUGACGAGCCUUGGUUGCCGUGAUCCUAAAGGUAAAAUUUGCCAAGAGCAUCUUUGCCGAUGACUUUUCUUUACUAAGGGUCGGGCCCUCGGUAAAGGCCUCUUUGACGAGGGCUCCUGCGGCUGGCCCUCGGCAAAGAAUGUCUUUGUUGAGUGUCCGAGAUUUGGCCCUCGACAAAGCACGCCCGUUGCCCAUAGAUUGGUUUUUAUUAGUUUAGUUCAUACCGUCAGGACCCAUAGAUUGGUUAUCUUUCAUCCGUGACUCAAUUUUAUUUCAUAAAGCAGUCAUACCGUCAGGACUCAAGAUGGCCUUGCAAAGGGGAUCGAUGUAGUGAGUUACUGACUGUUUUUCCGUCAGAGUUGAUGCAGAGAGGCAACAUAAUAUUUCCUUGCAAUCUCUAAGGUCUCUUGAUUCUUUGCUUCUUGAUUAAAUUAUCGAUUAUUUGGCCUACAUGUAAGUAUUCCUACAGUUCUGGGCAGAUCUUGAAAUUUUCCAGUGUGUGCAGAUUAUUUCCUUGUGAGUAGCAAUCCUGCGCCAAUUGUAAGGAGUAGCAGAUCUGAAGUAAUGGGCAAAAUUUCAGUAAAUGUUCUUACUUUUCGUGCAACUUUCUCUUGCCUUGAUUAAAUUAGAAAUCAAUAAUGAAAUUGGUGAUAUAAAUCUAGUGCCAUUUGUUUGUUGUGUCAAUUGUGCAUCAUGUUAUGAAAUUAUCAGAACCUAAAAUUUAUAGUUGUUUCACCAGACUUGCAGUAAACUUACUGUUAAUUUAUUUCUCAAAAAUGUCCUUGAGGAAUACUCCUGUACUAUUAGACAUCCUAGCAGAAACUGUUGUAAUUUCCAAUUUGCAUAUGAGAUCUGAUAUGAGAAUCAUUCUAGCAAAUAUGUUGCCUUUAGGGCUCCUUAUUUCUCAUCUCGAAUUUUUAAGGACCAUGUGAAUAUAGGCAUUCAGACUUUACUAUUACUUCUUACCUCUCGAGUAACGUAUCCUGUUGAAUGUUUAACUAUUCUAGCAUAUUGACAGACCUCCAAUUUAAGGAUGGUGUGCAUAAUAUUUGUUUGCUUUAAUAGCAGGAUUAUAAACAUAUGGAGAGUUGGGAACUACUUGUUUUAGAAAAGGAAAUAAAUUAAUAUCCCAGCUUUUGUAUCGAUUAAUACGUAUGGUUGUUCGUUAUUAUAAACUAGGAAGAAAACGUCCAGGGUAUCUCAAAAAAAAGUUUUGCGCUAUAGAGCUAAAGAUGAACUAAAAGACCGGUACUAGGAGCAAUUCUAUAACUAAAACUCCAGCCAUGUCUAGCAAAUACUUCCAUCGUGGCUGUCUCAAUGGUCUUACAACCCAUCUUCAUGAAAAGGCGAUCCUCAUCCUUCUGUAACAGAGACCAAAACCUGGUCUAGUAGGUCCCACUAAAGAUAUAUCCUGCAAAUAAGAUGGUGCUACAGUCUUGUUAAAAACUAAAUCAUUUCUGCUUAUCCAAAUUACCCAAAAAAAAGCACUUGCACCCACAAUAAUCUAGGAUUUAAGUUUCCUAUUUAUCCCUUCCAACCAGUCUGAGAAAAUAUUGUGUAUGCUAGUUGGCUGUGAUAAAUUAAAGGAAACAUGAAUAAUUCUCUAAAUAAACUUAGCAAAAUGACAAUCAAAAAAUAGGUGUUGAAUAGACUCGUUUGAGGAGCAAAGCCAAUAUUUCCUAUCUCCUUGCCAUUGUCAUCAUGCUAAUUAAAUUAUCAUUGGUUAGGACUACUCCUUUGUACAAGUACCAAAUGAAGACUUUAAUUUUGAGAGGCAGCAUUCCAAAUAAAAGUAUUAAAAGGUAAAGUUUGUGUUACUAAAAGAGCUUUAUACAUCGAUUUGUCAGAGAUCUCCUGAAGGCUACAUUUAACAGUAUCAUAGACAUCACUCAUCGUACAAAUGCAUUUCUCUUAUCACAAUAUUAUAAAGUGUUGGGAAGAGCGAUUUCAGCGGGCGGGGAUCUUAUCCACGAAUCCUCCCAAAAUUGUACUUGAUACCCCUCACCUAGAUCAAACUUGUCUAAUAAGAGGAACUCCGUCUUAACCUUCAUAAGGCCAGCCCAAAAUUGAGAAUCCACGGGCAUAUAUUGAAUCUGAGUCAAACUUCUAUUCUUUAGGUACUUAUUCCUAAGCAAUUGCUACCAAACCUUAUCGUCAUUUAUUUAUUUAAAACAACCACUUGUUGAGAAGGCAUUUGUUGUGAAUUUCUAGAUUCAGGACUCCCAGGCCUCCUUGGUAUUUUGGAGUGCACACUACCUUCCACUUAGUCAAUCUAUAUUUGUUCUUAUGUUCAUCACUCUGCCAAAAACAUGAUCUCAAGUAAUCUAGUUUCUUCAAAUACCCCUUUCGAAAUUUCAAAAAAAGAUAACAUGAACAUAGGGAGACUACACAAGAUAGAGUUGAUAAGAAUGAGCCUUCCUCCUACUGACAGCAUCUUGCCCCUCCAACAAUUGAGUCUUUUUUAGAAUCUUAACAUAUUUUCGGUCCUUAUUCAAAAGUUUUCUAUGGUACAUAGGAGUUCCUAGGUAUCUAGAUGGGAAAGAUCCUACACUGCAUCCAAAAAUCUAUGUAUAUUCAAGUUGAUUGGCUUUGGCCGCCUCAAAGCAGAACAACUCGUUUUUAUGGAAGUUGAUCUUGAGUCCUGAUAAUUGUUCAAAAGCACAAAGCAGGAGCUUCAUGUUUUUGGCCCUCUCUAGAUUAUUACCCAUAAAGAUAAUAGUAUCAUCCGCAUAUUAGAGGACCUAAAGUCCCUCAUCAAUCAAAUGUGGAACAACCUCUUUUAUUUGUUUCGCCUCUUUAGCUCUUAAAAUAAGGACAACUAACAUGUCCACCACUAUAUUAAACAAGAUUGGGGAUAGUGGAUCCCCUUCACGCACUCCUUUUCUUGUUUGAAAAUAAUGGCUGACAUUGUCAUGAACAUUACUGCAAUACUCCCUCUAGAGAUAACUUUCGACAUCCAAUCACACCAACUUGGUGAGAAACCUUUCAUUCGAAGAACUUGUUCUAUGAAGGGCCACUUUAGCUUAUCAUAAGUCUUUUCAAAGUCUAGUUUUAAAAUUGCAGCAUUUUGUUUUUUCCGAUGUAGCUCAUGAUUUGUUUCAUGUAAAAGUCACAACUCCUUCCAUUAUAUAGUGACCUGGAGUAAAAUCCGUUUGAGAUGGUUUUAUCAACUUAUCUGCCACUUUCAAAAGUCUAUUGUUUAGUACUUUUGUAAAAAUGUUAAACUCACAUUGAGGAGGCAAAUUGGUCUAUAUUGUUAUAGCUAAAUCAAUGCAGCUAAAGUGUGCAGCUAUUGUCCUUGCCAUAGUCGUCGGGUGGGCUCGUGAUCGAGCUAGUAGCGUGCGCGGCUAGUGUUCGUCCCGUUUCUCGCAAACGCAAUAUAUAGGGUUUGACACCUAUAUGGAUAUAAAGAUAAAGGUACCUGGACAUUUUGGUGCAAGUUUACAGGAGCAUGCAUGGUUUGCCGUUUCUAUGGAGUGUCGCAGAAGCACCUUUUAGUUUUUGUCUCCGCGCCUCCGUGUCGACCGAUCAGUGGUGGUGCCCUGAACGAGAAGUCCUGUGAUGCACGAAUGCUGCUGUAGCGCUACUUAACUUUUGCCCACGAGACCUUGGCAAUAUAUAUGUAGACAUAUGGAUUGUCCACAAGACCC
RNAcentral lists this long non-coding RNA (12349 nucleotides) under Sorghum bicolor (sorghum). Its description in RNAcentral is "long non-coding RNA (SBIC_LNC009641)". Lineage: Eukaryota; Viridiplantae; Streptophyta; Magnoliopsida; Poales; Poaceae. The record is from RNAcentral.